Molecule: long non-coding RNA, 386 nt
Filed under: Homo sapiens (human)
Lineage: Eukaryota; Metazoa; Chordata; Mammalia; Primates; Hominidae
Description: non-protein coding lnc-CFAP46-3:3
Source: RNAcentral
CACGCACGCUAACACAUUGCACACUAACACACAUCACACACGAAAACACAUCACACAAGCACACAUCACGCACGCUAACACACAUCACACACUAACACACAUCACACACUAACACACAUCACACGUGCUAAAACACAUCACACAAGCACACAUCACACACACUAACACAUCACACACACGAAAACACAUCACACAAGCACACAUCACACACACUAACACAUCACACACACAAAAACACAUCACACAAGCACACAUCACACACGCUAACACACAUCACACACUAACACACAUCACACACUAACACACACAUCACACGUGCUAAAACACAUCACACAAGCACACAUCACACACGCUAACACACAUCACACACUAACACACACAUCACA